This 821-nucleotide ribosomal RNA is filed under the name uncultured archaeon. RNAcentral describes it as "bacterial SSU rRNA". It matches the Rfam family "Archaeal small subunit ribosomal RNA", at positions 95 to 922 of the family's 1478-position model. The record is from RNAcentral.
AACACGUAGGAAUCUACCUCAGGACUGAGAUAACCCCGGGAAACUGGGGCUAAUACCAGAUAGAUAAAAGAUACUGGAAUGUUCUUUAUCCAAAGCUUUUGUGCCUGAGGAUGAGCCUGCGCCCGAUUAGGUAGUUGGUGGGGUAAUGGCCCACCAAGCCCGCGAUCGGUACGGGCAGUGGGAGCUGUAGCCCGGAGUUGGGGACUGAGACAAGGCCCCAGGCCCUACGGGGCGCAGCAGGCGCGAAACCUCUGCAAUGCGGGAAACCGUGACAGGGGGAUUCCAAGUGCUCAUGCAUUGCAUGGGCUGUUCUUUGGUCUAAGUAACCAGAGGAGUAAGGGCUGGGCAAGACCGGUGCCAGCCGCCGCGGUAAUACCGGCAGCUCGAGUGGUGGCCGCGAUUAUUGGGCCUAAAACGUUCGUAGCCGGAUAAGUAAGUCUUUGGUUAAAUCCUACGACUUAACCGUGGGAAAUCUAGAGAUACUGCUUGUCUUGAGACCGGGAGAGGUUGGAGGUACUCCCAGGGUAGGGGUGUAAUCCUGUAAUCCUGGGGGGACCACCUGUGGCGAAGGCGUCCAACUGGAACGGCUCUGACGGUGAGGGACGAAACCUAGGGGAGCGAGCCGGAUUAGAUACCAGGGUAGUCCUAGGCGUAAAUGAUGCGAGUUAAGUGUGGGGGCAUCUACGAGAUGGCCCUGUGCUGUAGGGUAGCCGUUAAACUCGCUGCCUGGGGAGUACGGUCGCAAGGCUGAAACUUAAAGGAAUUGGCGGGGGAGUACCACAAGAGGUGGAGGCUGCGGUUCAAUUGGAUUCAACGCCGGA